GCAAUUAUACAGCGAAACUGCGAAUGGCUCAUUAUAUAAGUUAUCGUUUAUUUGAUAGUACCUUACUACUUGGAUAACCGUGGUAAUUCUAGAGCUAAUACAUGCUAAAAAUCCCGACUUCGGAAGGGAUGUAUUUAUUAGAUUAAAAACCAAUGCCCUCUGGGCUCCUUGGUGAUUCAUAAUAACUUUUCGAAUCGCAUGGCCUUGCGCCGGCGAUGGUUCAUUCAAAUUUCUUCCCUAUCAACUUUCGAUGUUUGGGUAUUGGCCAAACAUGGUCGCAACGGGUAACGGAGGGUUAGGGCUCGACCCCGGAGAAGGAGCCUGAGAAACGGCUACUACAUCCAAGGAAGGCAGCAGGCGCGCAAAUUACCCAAUCCCGAUUCGGGGAGGUAGUGACAAUAAAUACUGAUACAGGGCUCUUUUGGGUCUUGUAAUUGGAAUGAGUACAAUUUAAAUCCCUUAACGAGGAACAAUUGGAGGGCAAGUCUGGUGCCAGCAGCCGCGGUAAUUCCAGCUCCAAUAGCGUAUAUUAAAGUUGUUGUGGUUAAAAAGCUCGUAGUUGAACCUUGGGCCUGGCUGGCCGGUCCGCCUCACCGCGUGUACUGGUCCGGCCGGGCCUUUCCCUCUGUGGAACCUCAUGCCCUUCACUGGGUGUGGCGGGGAAACAGGACUUUUACUUUGAAAAAAUUAGAGUGCUCCAGGCAGGCCUAUGCUCGAAUACAUUAGCAUGGAAUAAUGAAAUAGGACGUGUGGUUCUAUUUUGUUGGUUUCUAGGACCGCCGUAAUGAUUAAUAGGGACAGUCGGGGGCAUCAGUAUUCAAUUGUCAGAGGUGAAAUUCUUGGAUUUAUUGAAGACUAACUACUGCGAAAGCAUUUGCCAAGGAUGUUUUCAUUAAUCAGGAACGAAAGUUAGGGGAUCGAAGACGAUCAGAUACCGUCGUAGUCUUAACCAUAAACUAUGCCGACUAGGGAUCGGACGAUGUUAUUUUUUGACGCGUUCGGCACCUUACGAGAAAUC
Molecule: ribosomal RNA, 1018 nt
Filed under: Samsoniella hepiali
Lineage: Eukaryota; Fungi; Ascomycota; Sordariomycetes; Hypocreales; Cordycipitaceae
Description: SSU rRNA
Rfam family: Eukaryotic small subunit ribosomal RNA
Source: RNAcentral